AGGGGUAACAUAGUUUGCUUGCAAACUGAUGACGACCGGCGCACGGGUGCGGAACGCGUAUGGAACCUGCCCCUGUCAGGGGAAUAGCCCAGAGAAAUUUGGAUUAAUGCCCCAUGGUAACGUUAUAUCGCAUGAUAUGAUGUUUAAAGAUUUAUCGGACAGGGAUGGCCAUGCGUACCAUUAGUCAGAUGGUGAGGUAACGGCUCACCAUAACUACGAUGGUUAGGGGCCCUGAGAGGGGGAUCCCCCACACUGGUACUGAGACACGGACCAGACUCCUACGGGAGGCAGCAGUGAGGAAUAUUGGACAAUGGGCGGGAGCCUGAUCCAGCCAUGCCGCGUGCAGGAUGACUGCCCUAUGGGUUGUAAACUGCUUUUAUACGGGAAGAAACCCAUCUACGUGUAGAUGGCUGACGGUACCGUAAGAAUAAGGACCGGCUAACUCCGUGCCAGCAGCCGCGGUAAUACGGAGGGUCCGAGCGUUAUCCGGAAUCAUUGGGUUUAAAGGGUCCGUAGGUGGGCCAUUAAGUCAGGGGUGAAAGUCUGCGGCUCAACCGUAGAAUUGCCUUUGAUACUGGUGGUCUUGAGUCGUUGUGGGGUUGCCGGAACAUGUGGUGUAGCGGUGAAAUGCAUAGAUAUCACAUAGAACACCGAUCGCGAAGGCAGGUGACCAACAACGUACUGACACUGAUGGACGAAAGCGUGGGUAGCGAACGGGAUUAGAUACCCCGGUAGUCCACGCCGUAAACGAUGGAUACUAGCUGUCGGGACUUCGGUCUCGGCGGCCAAGCGAAAGUGAUAAGUAUCCCACCUGGGGAGUACGUUCGCAAG
RNAcentral lists this ribosomal RNA (831 nucleotides) under uncultured bacterium. RNAcentral's name for it is "bacterial SSU rRNA". It matches the Rfam family "Bacterial small subunit ribosomal RNA", at positions 65 to 892 of the family's 1533-position model. The record is from RNAcentral.